Molecule: ribosomal RNA, 407 nt
Filed under: uncultured bacterium
Lineage: Bacteria
Description: partial 16S ribosomal RNA
Rfam family: Bacterial small subunit ribosomal RNA
Source: RNAcentral
GACGAACGCUGGCGGCGUGCUUAACACAUGCAAGUCGAACGGAGUGGCGAACGGGUGAGUAACACGUGGGUGAUCUGCCUUGCACUUCGGGAUAAGCUUGGGAAACUGGGUCUAAUACCUGAUAGUGCAAUAUGAGCUCGCGGCCUAUCAGCUUGUUGGGGGGGUAAUGGCCUACCAAGGCGUCGACGGGUAGCCGGCCUGAGAGGGUGUACGGCCAAAUUGGGAAUGGGAUACGGCCCAGACGCCGACGGGGGGAAGGAGGGGGGAAUAUGGCACAAUGGGCGGAAGCCUGAGGCAGCGACGCCGGGUGGGGGAUGAGGGCCUUCGGGUUGAAAACUCCUUUCGACAGGGACGGGGAACCUGUAUAAGAGGCACCGGCUAACUAGGUGCCAGCAGCGGCGGAAUAC